This 619-nucleotide ribosomal RNA is filed under the name Norellisoma striolatum. Its description in RNAcentral is "Norellia striolata partial 12S ribosomal RNA". The record is from RNAcentral. Lineage: Eukaryota; Metazoa; Arthropoda; Insecta; Diptera; Scathophagidae.
AAAUUAUUUCAAUUUUCUUUUACAAUACUAUUACACUAUAAUUAAAAUAAUUUUUUUUUUAAAAAAUACUAAAACAAAUAUUUAUAUAAUUAUUUUUAAUAAUUUAAAAUUUUAAAAUCAAUAUAAAUUAAUAAAUAUAAUAUAAUCAAUUUAUAUUGAUUUGCACAAAAAUCUUUUCAAUGUAAAUGAAAUACUUUACUUAAUAAGCUUUAAAUUGCAUUCUAGAUACACUUUCCAGUACAUCUACUAUGUUACGACUUAUCUUACCUUAAUAAUAAGAGUGACGGGCGAUGUGUGCAUAUUUUAGUGCUAAAAUCAAAUUAUUAAUCUUUAUAAUUUUACUAUCAAAUCCACCUUCAAUAAAUAUUUCAAAUUUAUAUUCGUAUAAAUAAAUUUAUUGUAACUCAUUUCUACUUAAACAUAAGCUACACCUUGAUCUGAUAUAUUCUCUUUUUAAAAAUUAUGAAAAUUAACAUUCUUAUAAAAUAUUCUAAUAACGACGGUAUAUAAACUGAUUACAAAUUUAAGUAAGGUCCAUCGUGGAUUAUCGAUUAUAGAACAAGUUCCUCUGAAUAGACUAAAAUACCGCCAAAUUUUUUAAGUUUCAAGAACAUAACUA